RNAcentral lists this ribosomal RNA (1442 nucleotides) under Mycoplasmopsis arginini. RNAcentral describes it as "bacterial SSU rRNA". It matches the Rfam family "Bacterial small subunit ribosomal RNA". Lineage: Bacteria; Bacillati; Mycoplasmatota; Mycoplasmoidales; Metamycoplasmataceae. The record is from RNAcentral.
ACGGGCCGAUUGCCACGUCUUGCAUGUCGAGCGUGGUUCUUUUGAAUCUCUGGUUGGAUGGGUGAGUGACACGUGCUUAAUCUACCCUUUAGAUUGCAAUACCCUGUGGAAACAUUGGCUAAUGCCGGAUACGCAUGGAAUCGCAUGAUUCCGUUGUGAAAGGAGCCUUUAAAGGUCCGCUAGAGGAUGAGGGUGCGGAACUUUAGUUAGAUGGUAUGGUAAUGGCCUACCAGGACUAUGAUGUUUAGCCGGGUCGAGAGACUGAACGGCCACAUUGGGACUGAUAUACGGGCCAAACUCCUACGGGAGGCAGCAGUAGGGAAUAUUCCACAAUGAGCGAAAGGUUGAUGGAGCGACACAGCGUGCACGAUGAAGGUCUUCGGAUUGUAAAGUGCUGUUAUAGGGAAAGAACACCUGGAUGAGGAAAUGCUUCCAGGCUGACGGAACCCUGUCAGAAAGCGAUGGCUAACUAUGUGCCAGCAGCCGCGGUAAUACAUAGGUCGCAAGCGUUAUCCGGAAAUUAUUGGGCGUAAAGCGUUCGUAGGCUGUUUAUUAAGUCUGGAGUCAAAUCCCAGGGCUCAACCCUGGCUCGCUUUGGAUACUGGUAAACUAGAGUUAGAUAGAGGUAAGCGGAAUUCCAUGUGAAGCGGUGAAAUGCGUAGAUAAUAUGGAAGAACACCAAAGGCGAAGGCAGCUUACUGGGUCUAUACUGACGCUGAGGGACGAAAGCGUGGGGAGCAAACAGGAUUAGAUACCCUGGUAGUCCACGCCGUAAACGAUGAUCAUUAGUCGGGUGGUAGAGUUCACUGACGCAGCUAACGCAUUUAAAUGAUCCCGCCUGAGUAGUAUGCUCGCAAGAGUGAAACUUAAAGGGAAUUGAACGGGACCCGCACAAGCGGUGGAGCAUGUGGUUUAAUUUGAAGAUACGCGGAGAACCUUACCCACUCUUGACAUCCUUCGCAAUGCUAUAGAGAUAUAGCGGAGGUUAACGGAGUGACAGAUGGUGCAUGGUUGUCGUCAGCUCGUGUCGUGAGAUGUUUGGUCAAGUCCUGCAACGAGCGCAACCCCUAUCUUUAGUUACUAACGAGUCAUGUCGAGGACUCUAGAGAUACUGCCUGGGUAACUGGGAGGAAGGUGGGGAUGACGUCAAAUCAUCAUGCCUCUUACGAGUGGGGCAACACACGUGCUACAAUGGUCGGUACAAAGAGAAGCAAUAUGGCGACAUGGAGCAAAUCUCAAAAAGCCGAUCUCAGUUCGGAUUGGAGUCUGCAAUUCGACUCCAUGAAGUCGGAAUCGCUAGUAAUCGCAGAUCAGCUACGCUGCGGUGAAUACGUUCUCGGGUCUUGUACACACCGCCCGUCACACCAUGGGAGCUGGUAAUACCCAAAGUCGGUUAGCUAACCUCGGAGGCACCGCCUAAGAGAUGGCGAAGCUUUCAUGCC